This 73-nucleotide transfer RNA is filed under the name bacterium. Its description in RNAcentral is "tRNA-Thr". It matches the Rfam family "tRNA". Rfam says of the family: Transfer RNA (tRNA) molecules are approximately 80 nucleotides in length. Their secondary structure includes four short double-helical elements and three loops (D, anti-codon, and T loops). RNAcentral also lists the same sequence under 4 other names. The record is from RNAcentral.
GCCCAUGUAGCUCAGUAGGUAGAGCACAUCCUUGGUAAGGAUGAGGUCACCGGUUCAAAUCCGGUCGUGGGCU